GAUGAACGCUGGCGGCGUGCCUAAUACAUGCAAGUCGAGCGAACAGACGAGGAGCUUGCUCCUCUGACGUUAGCGGCGGACGGGUGAGUAACACGUGGAUAACCUACCUAUAAGACUGGGAUAACUUCGGGAAACCGGAGCUAAUACCGGAUAAUAUAUUGAACCGCAUGGUUCAAUAGUGAAAGACGGUUUUGCUGUCACUUAUAGAUGGAUCCGCGCCGCAUUAGCUAGUUGGUAUGGUAACGGCUUACCAAGGCAACGAUGCGUAGCCGACCUGAGAGGGUGAUCGGCCACACUGGAACUGAGACACGGUCCAGACUCCUACGGGAGGCAGCAGUAGGGAAUCUUCCGCAAUGGGCGAAAGCCUGACGGAGCAACGCCGCGUGAGUGAUGAAGGUCUUCGGAUCGUAAAACUCUGUUAUUAGGGAAGAACAAAUGUAUAAGUAACUAUGCACGUCUUGACGGUACCUAAUCAGAAAGCCACGGCUAACUACGUG
This 497-nucleotide ribosomal RNA is filed under the name uncultured bacterium. RNAcentral's name for it is "partial 16S ribosomal RNA". It matches the Rfam family "Bacterial small subunit ribosomal RNA", at positions 28 to 507 of the family's 1533-position model. The record is from RNAcentral.